UACAGAGGUCUCAAGCGUUGUUCGGAAUCAUUGGGCGUAAAGGGUGCGUAGGCGGCGCGGUAAGUCGGGUGUGAAAUCUCGGAGCUUAACUCCGAAACUGCAUUCGAUACUGCCGUGCUUGAGGACUGGAGAGGAGACUGGAAUUUACGGUGUAGCGGUGAAAUGCGUAGAUAUCGUAAGGAAGACCAGUGGCGAAGGUGGGUCUCUGGACAGUUCCUGACGCUGAGGCACGAAGGUCAGGGGAGCAAACGGG
RNAcentral lists this ribosomal RNA (253 nucleotides) under uncultured bacterium. RNAcentral describes it as "partial 16S ribosomal RNA". It matches the Rfam family "Bacterial small subunit ribosomal RNA", at positions 524 to 776 of the family's 1533-position model. The record is from RNAcentral.